GGGUGUGAAGGAUUUCUGAUUGUGAUGUUCAUUACCCCCCUGACCUGACCCGGUUUGUUCAGCUGUUCAGCCUGGCUGGCCAAGUGCCCUUCCCUAACUGCCCCUCAUGAAUCUCUCCUGCACCUGCAUGUUCAUUUGAAGAGAAUGACCUUUUCAGCACCAGAGACCUUCAGUCAAGGGGACAAACAGCUCUAUACCUCUGUCUACAACCUGCCGACUGCCUCCUGCUUUCAUUUAGCGCAGGAUUCAAAAGGUGCAAGUUAUAACUGGCUCUACUUAGUUUACGUUCAAAAAAUGUCUAGAGCCCAUUGAACUUGACUUU
RNAcentral lists this small RNA (322 nucleotides) under Saimiri boliviensis boliviensis (Bolivian squirrel monkey). RNAcentral describes it as "7SK RNA (ENSSBOG00000005452.1)". The record is from RNAcentral. Lineage: Eukaryota; Metazoa; Chordata; Mammalia; Primates; Cebidae.